GUUAUAGGAUCAAGCGACUAAGUGCAUAUGGUGGAUGCCUUGGCGAUCACAGGCGAUGAAGGACGUAGUAGCCUGCGAAAAGCUGCGGGGAGCUGGCAAACAAGCUUUGAUCCGCAGAUAUCCGAAUGGGGAAACCCACUCCGUAAGGAGUAUCCCUGACUGAAUACAUAGGUCAGUGGAAGCGAACCGGGUGAACUGAAACAUCUCAGUAGCUCGAGGAAAAGAAAUCAACCGAGAUUCCGAAAGUAGUGGCGAGCGAAAUCGGAAGAGCCUUCACGUUUUAGCAUGCAAGAUAGUCGAACGGAAUGGAAAGUCCGGCCGUAGCAGGUGAUAGCCCUGUAGACGAAAUUUUGUGUGUGGAACUAAGCGUGAGAAAAGUAGGGCGGGACACGUGAAAUCCUGUUUGAAGAUGGGGGGACCAUCCUCCAAGGCUAAAUACUCGUGAUCGACCGAUAGUGAACCAGUACCGUGAGGGAAAGGCGAAAAGAACCCCGGAAGGGGAGUGAAAUAGAUCCUGAAACCGUAUGCAUACAAACAGUAGGAGCCUCCUUGUGGGGUGACUGCGUACCUUUUGUAUAAUGGGUCAGCGACUUACAUUCAGUGGCAAGGUUAACCGAAUAGGGAAGCCGUAGCGAAAGCGAGUCCGAAUAGGGCGAUUCAGUCGCUGGGUGUAGACCCGAAACCAGAUGAUCUAUCCAUCGCCAGGUUGAAGGCACGGUAACACGUGCUGAAGGACCGAAC
Molecule: ribosomal RNA, 741 nt
Rfam family: Bacterial large subunit ribosomal RNA